This 78-nucleotide transfer RNA is filed under the name Sphaerodactylus townsendi. RNAcentral's name for it is "tRNA-Tyr". The stretch from base 11 to 69 matches the Rfam family "tRNA", at positions 7 to 64 of the family's 71-position model. Rfam says of the family: Transfer RNA (tRNA) molecules are approximately 80 nucleotides in length. Their secondary structure includes four short double-helical elements and three loops (D, anti-codon, and T loops). The record is from RNAcentral. Lineage: Eukaryota; Metazoa; Chordata; Lepidosauria; Squamata; Sphaerodactylidae.
GCGAUGGUCUGUGGUUCAAUGGCAAAGCAUCUGCUUGUAAUGCAGAAGUUCCCAGGUUCAAUUCCUCGCUCCUCCGCA